UAGGACUGGGUGUGAUGGGUAGCACAAAGGAUUUUGAAUCCUUUAGAGUAGGUUCAAUUCCUAUAGUUCUAG
RNAcentral lists this transfer RNA (72 nucleotides) under Sicista concolor (Chinese birch mouse). RNAcentral's name for it is "tRNA-Gln". It matches the Rfam family "tRNA". Rfam says of the family: Transfer RNA (tRNA) molecules are approximately 80 nucleotides in length. Their secondary structure includes four short double-helical elements and three loops (D, anti-codon, and T loops). Lineage: Eukaryota; Metazoa; Chordata; Mammalia; Rodentia; Dipodidae. The record is from RNAcentral.